Arachis ipaensis is the source of this 803-nucleotide long non-coding RNA. RefSeq lists it as uncharacterized. The record is from RefSeq and is a predicted model, not a curated record. Lineage: Eukaryota; Viridiplantae; Streptophyta; Magnoliopsida; Fabales; Fabaceae.
UGUCAAAGAAACUAUCCGCACACUGCCUGAUUGCCCUUUUUACUCUUUUUCCUUCCUGCACCGAUGCAAACCCAACGAAGAACCAUGGUUCUACCUCUUCUCAUUAAUGUGCUGCUGUAUUGAGGAAAGAAGGAAGACACAAAGCCUUCUAUCACAUGUCACCUAUCCUCCCUUCUCUUCUAUUUAAUGAGUACAAGCCUCCCUUCUCUUCGUCACUCACACAAGCAAACACACGAAAAAAAGAGAAAAGAGAGAAAGAACAGCGACGGGCUGAGGAGAAGGAGAAGGAAGCACGAAUAGAAUCGUCAUCACCAUCUUCGUGCAUAAUCGUCGAAGAAGGGGAAAGAAACUAUGGAAGAUGCUACCCGAAGCCAGAGGAAGAGCUCCAUUCCUUUUUCUUUCUGAUUUUUUCAACAUUUUUCUACUGGUGACCAAACCAUUCAAGUUCAGUCCAUUACAAGAGGUUUUUGAUUCAAGAUAAGCAAAGGAGCAGAAUUCGGUUUGUAAUUCUCAAAGAAAAGGAAGGGUUAGGAUGUCAGUUUAGUCUUAUAUGUUACCGUUAGUUGUAUUUUCUUGUUAUGGAUGAUUUAGUGUGAUUAAAUAUUAUAAUUGUUGCUGAAAUUACUGCUAUUAUGCCUUGAUAUUGUUGAAGAAUUGUUGAUAUAAAUAGUGCAGUGGUGAUAUUGUGAAUUGUGGUAUAUUGUGCAGAAUGUUAUAUCAUUUGUGAUAUAUACAUUGAUUUGAGGCUCUUGGCUGUGCUUGAGUUGGAAAUAUGAAAUAAUAAGAAUCAAUUAUGAGAAUAA